UGGGGGAUAUUGGACAAUGGGGGGAACCCUGAUCCAGCGACGCCGCGUGAGUGAAGAAGUAUUUCGGUAUGUAAAGCUCUAUCAGCAGGGAAGAAAUCAUGACGGUACCUGAGUAAGAAGCCCCGGCUAACUACGUGCCAGCAGCCGCGGUAAUACGUAGGGGGCAAGCGUUAUCCGGAAUUACUGGGUGUAAAGGGAGCGUAGACGGUAAAGCAAGUCUGGAGUGAAAGGCUGGGGCCCAACCCCGGGACUGCUCUGGAAACUGUUAAACUGGAGUGCAGGAGAGGCAGGCGGAAUUCCUAGUGUAGCGGUGAAAUGCGUAGAUAUUAGGAGAACACCAGUGGCGAAGGCGGCCUGCUUGGACUGUAACUGACGUUGAGGCUCGAAAGCGUGGGGAGCAAACA
RNAcentral lists this ribosomal RNA (404 nucleotides) under uncultured Lachnospiraceae bacterium. RNAcentral's name for it is "bacterial SSU rRNA". It matches the Rfam family "Bacterial small subunit ribosomal RNA", at positions 355 to 774 of the family's 1533-position model. Lineage: Bacteria; Bacillati; Bacillota; Clostridia; Lachnospirales; Lachnospiraceae. The record is from RNAcentral.